Molecule: ribosomal RNA, 78 nt
Filed under: Bacillus subtilis
Lineage: Bacteria; Bacillati; Bacillota; Bacilli; Caryophanales; Bacillaceae
Description: partial 23S ribosomal RNA
Source: RNAcentral
UGAUCAGGUUGAUAGGUCUGAGGUGAAGUGUGGCGACACAUGGAGCUGACAGAUACUAAUCGAUCGAGGACUUAACCA